Molecule: long non-coding RNA, 878 nt
Organism: Olea europaea var. sylvestris
Lineage: Eukaryota; Viridiplantae; Streptophyta; Magnoliopsida; Lamiales; Oleaceae
Exons: 3
Source: RefSeq, a predicted model, not a curated record
AUGGAGGCCAAACGAAACUUACUUUUGCUGCAAUAUUAUUAGGGGGUAGACUGUAAAUUUAAGUUUGGACAAAUGUUUAUUGAGGAACUGAAGAAAAGGAAUUUAGAGAAUGGAGAGGGACAACAUUUUUGUGGUGUAAAGAAAGAUCAUAGUGGUGUGUUGACAGUGUUGUUUGGAUGGUAAAUGUUCUUUGACUUUUAUGAUAACGGGUUUCUUUGGUUGUGCUGGUGGUGAGGAGUAUGCUUCUGGGGAGGCUUUGCUACGAUUGUAUCCGUUUGGUAACCCAACUACUAAUUGUUCUACGUUUAGAAUUCGUUUCCCUUUUGCUUGUGUGUUUGAAGAAGAAUGGAAAAGAUAUGAUUAUUUGGUCUAAAAUUUUGUCUAAUGCUGCUUGCUACUCAUUUAAUUGAUGUCUAAUAUAGCUUUUUGAUUGUUCAACAGAUGUCCAAUGUAGCCUCUUCAAAGAUUGUGCUUUACAUUUAACUUAUGGGAUCUGGUUUUUGAUUAUGUGUUUGCUUUCUUAAAUUUUUUCAUGACAGGAAAUGCACCAAGCUCAAUAAACCAAAUGACAGUUACACAAAUGGAAGUUCCGUCAAUGAGGAAGAAGUGCCUGUGAUUGAUGUUAUAUAGUUCGGGUACUUUAAGGUUUUGGAUACUGGAGUUUUACCGAAAAAUUAGUUGGUGGUUGUUAAGGCUAAGCUUGUGUGGAAGAUUGUUGAGAAGAAAAUUAUGGGGGACGAUGGUGCUGUUUUACUAAUUAUUGAGUUUGUUGUUUUUUUUAUUUUUUUAAAUGUAUUAGAUUUUUAGGUGCUUUAAAAUUUGGGAUUUGAAUUUUGUACAGAUAUUGUUACAUUUUGGAGUUCAAUUAAUAAUGAUUA